Molecule: long non-coding RNA, 465 nt
Filed under: Equus asinus (donkey)
Lineage: Eukaryota; Metazoa; Chordata; Mammalia; Perissodactyla; Equidae
Description: lncRNA (ENSEASG00005034475.1)
Source: RNAcentral
CACUGUCCCUGGGUGAGCUUCCCCUUCCCGCAUCAGUUUGGCAGGAGGCUAAUUAUUUGUCUUUCGGGCUCUGUCUCUGAGGCUUCAAAUUCUCUGGCAAUGGCAGGUGGGCUUGAGAUUGGACUUCUGUCAUCAGCUUCUGUGAUCUUACUCUGGCAUAGAUAGGGAAAAACAGACUGAGCCUGCCUCACAGCCUGCUUGUCUGACUCCCAGCUUAUUUAAGGAAGAAAGUGCCUACCAGGAAACACGAGGUUUCUGGAUCAGAGACAAACUUGAUUACUCAGAGAACAUAUUUCAUCAGUCUCUCAUGCUCCAAUCCCCCAAAGGGCAAUGCAGUGGGGGCAGAAAUCACCUGUGUGUAUGUGGGGUUUGUACAAGAGAGCUUACACACCUGCUCCCGCCCUCCUCCAGAGAGGGAGAGGGACUUUUGCUUUUUAAUAUAAACAAAUACUCUUCGAGGGAUAA